CACACCCCCGUGUCACUGAGGAAGCGCUGAUUGGGCAGUGGGCAGGGCCGGCCCUAUCAUUACUCCUGUACGUGGAACUGCUACAAGGCUGUGGGCACGGAGGGUGCCUGAAUCCCGAUUAGUGUCAGAUUCAAGAUGUACUGUGACAUUGGGUGCUGAGCGAGUCCCCCCUCAGUAUCAGCCACAACAGAUUUUGUCAUGGAGAUGAGGAGUUUCACUCUCAUUGUAAGGGUGUGGAUCCCUAUGGCCAGUACCUGAACAGUUCUGGACCUUCCCAUGUGACCCCAGCACCGCCACUCACCCUGUCACCAGCUCCUCUGGGCCUCCCACUUCCAGGGCUGGUGGCCUAUUUAAUGGGGAAAGAUGAGGAGGAAGACGACAACACCACCAUCAUCCUCACUCGCGUGGAGCCUAUGCCCCAUGUGCCACAGCAGCCGCAACCAUCACCACCCAGGCCACAAAUCAACAUUUCCAAUGCAGAGUAGAUCUCCAUCUUCCUCCAUCAAUUGCGGGAAAACACCUGGCAUUUAUGGAGAACCAGACCAGCCAGCUGGACUACAUCAGCAAAUGAAGCAGAUGAAUCGAACUGUGGCGGUGGUUCAGGGCAUCCACACUCUAAUGGCCUUGCAGAUCAAUAAUCACCUGCAGAAAUUGACCCAGGCCACACAGGAGUGGAUGGGGGUAGCCCGGGAUCAACUGCAGGUGACCCGGGAGUACACGCAGGCCAUUCGGGAGCAAACCCAGAUGUUUGUGUCCCUGCAGUGGGAACUGGUGGCGCAAUGAUUGGGCUGUGAAGGGCCAAAUACAACAAGGGCCAGCUCCCUCCACUCCUGCACACAGAGUGGCUCACCAGUCGCCCCUCAAGGUGUAGUGCCCGCGGGGGAGGGGAGGGGGAUCAAGGGGUCAAUGGACUUUCUCCUCCCAAUGAUUUUUGUUUUUCCCUCUUCAUUAUUUUCUUUCUAACAACAAUAUUCUGUUGACAUUUGUGUCCAUUUUUUUCAUAUUAAGUAAAG
Molecule: long non-coding RNA, 1013 nt
Organism: Pseudophryne corroboree (corroboree frog)
Lineage: Eukaryota; Metazoa; Chordata; Amphibia; Anura; Myobatrachidae
Exons: 3
Source: RefSeq, a predicted model, not a curated record